RNAcentral lists this long non-coding RNA (301 nucleotides) under Panax ginseng (ginseng). RNAcentral's name for it is "long non-coding RNA (PGIN_LNC004160)". Lineage: Eukaryota; Viridiplantae; Streptophyta; Magnoliopsida; Apiales; Araliaceae. The record is from RNAcentral.
CCCAAUUAAUUUGAAUAGAGUCCAAGAGAAUUAGAUUUAAUGGACUAAUGAUGUUAUAUCAUUUAAACAAGCCCAAUUAAUUAAUUAAGCAUGAGACUUGUAGAUAAAGUGAUUAAGGGCAAUUAAUUAUUUAAUCUAGCCCAAUAUAUUAUAUAUGGGACAAGUAUUAUAAUGACCCAAUUAAAUUUUGGGUGGAAGCCCAAGUUAGUUUUUGUUAGUAUGUAACACAAGUAAAAUGGCUAGCUCAAUGGAAUUAAUUAAUGGUCCAAACUAAGCCUACUUGUGGGAGGAUAGUAAUAAU